Molecule: ribosomal RNA, 440 nt
Filed under: uncultured bacterium
Lineage: Bacteria
Description: partial 16S ribosomal RNA
Rfam family: Bacterial small subunit ribosomal RNA
Source: RNAcentral
CCUACGGGCGGCAGCAGUGGGGAAUAUUGCACAAUGGGGGAAACCCUGAUGCAGCGACGCAGCGUGAGUGAAGAAGUAUUUCGGUACGUAAAGCUCUAUCAGCAGGGAAGAAAAUGACGGUACCUGACUAAGAAGCCCCGGCUAACUACGUGCCAGCAGCCGCGGUAAUACGUAGGGGGCAAGCGUUAUCCGGAUUUACUGGGUGUAAAGGGAGCGUAGACGGCAGCGCAAGUCUGGAGUGAAAGCCCAUGGCUUAACCAUGGAACUGCGUUGGAAACUGUGCAGCUAGAGUGCAGGAGAGGUAAGCGGAAUUCCUAGUGUAGCGGUGAAAUGCGUAGAUAUUAGGAGGAACACCAGUGGCGAAGGCGGCUUACUGGACUGUAACUGACGUUGAGGCUCGAAAGCGUGGGGAGCAAACAGGAUUAGAUACCCUGGUAGUC